UGCAAGUGCAAGUACGAGUCGCUGGCCUUCGUUGGCCCGACGACACUGCGAAAGGCUCAUUAAAUCAGUCGUGGUUUACGUGGUCGUGCGGCGACCUCGUCGUCGGAAAUGGAUAACCGUGGAAAAUCUAGAGCUAAUACAUGCGAGAAGGCGCCGACUUCGGGAGGCGUGCAUUUAUCUGACCGCUCGUCGGCCCGAGACGCGCUCUUCGCGGAACUCGCCUCGGUCGAACGUGGUGACUCUGGAUAACUUCGAAGAUCGCUUCGAUCGUCGAAGCGACGUGCCAUUCGAGCGUCUGACCUAUCAACUAUUGUCGGUAAGGUCUCGGCCUACCGAGGUGCUCACGGGUGACGGGGAAUCGGGGUUCGAUUCCGGAGAGGGAGCCCGAGAAACGGCUGCCACUUCCAAGGAAGGCAGCAGGCGCGCAAAUUACCCAUUUCAGACUCUGAGAGGUAGUGACGAGAAAUAACGAUGCCGGGCCCCGACGGGCGCCGACAAUCGAAAUGAGCGCAGCUCAAACGACUGAUGCGAGUAUCGAUCGGAGGGCAAGUCUGGUGCC
This 559-nucleotide ribosomal RNA is filed under the name Didemnidae sp. Tava-2. RNAcentral describes it as "bacterial SSU rRNA". It matches the Rfam family "Eukaryotic small subunit ribosomal RNA", at positions 52 to 568 of the family's 1831-position model. The record is from RNAcentral. Lineage: Eukaryota; Metazoa; Chordata; Ascidiacea; Aplousobranchia; Didemnidae.